This is a long non-coding RNA of Lolium rigidum, 2396 nucleotides long. RefSeq lists it as uncharacterized. The transcript is spliced from 3 exons. The record is from RefSeq and is a predicted model, not a curated record. NCBI's taxonomy places the organism in Eukaryota, Viridiplantae, Streptophyta, Magnoliopsida, Poales, Poaceae.
GAACAAUCGAGAUGAUCUUGGAUUGGUUUCGCGUGUCCCAUGAUAGAUACUCUUCCUCCCCGCCUCUCCCCACGAUCUCUCCAUCGAAUCUUCUUGCCUCCCUCUGGGAGCUCCUCCCUGGCCGAGAUCCCACGUCCCAGACACUGCCCUAGAUUUGUGAGGUGGAGCGGCUCACCGCAGAAAACUACGGCCCCAGGAAGGGCCCGGCACUCGGCGCGAUGGCCACUGCCGGCACUGCGACCUCUGCCCACACGGGACGACGGCCUCAAGUUGUCUAGGCAGUACAGGUUGCCGUCGACAACGAAGAGGAUCGCCAAGGCUGCCACCGCCUAUGAAUUCCAUCAUACAGGAGGAGAGCGGCCGCGACUCCCCUUUUCUCCUUUCUGCCCCCCAAUAGAGGUCCUGUACGGAGCGGGAAGAGCUGACCGCUGGUCUCGCCUUCCCGGCAACGUCGCGCCCGGCCACCAGGUUGCAGCGGCAGAUUGCUGGCGCACAACAGAGACUACAAAGGCAGCUACUUAGUCUAUUGGAUAUGGCAACUUGCCCUACACUAUCCCCCUCCUAUCAACGUGCGCUGUCUUCUGCGGCCUGCCAACGCCUCUAGCUCCUGAUGGUUGUUUUACUUCUUCAAGAUUGUUUGGACGAAGUGCUGCUGAGUAUGGGGUGGCAAAAAGCUCUGAAUCAAAGCAAGAUGUUUUAUCCACUAUUUCAGAUAUCUCUUGAUAGACUAUACUUAAUCACCUGGUUUGGUGAAGCACUGAGGAUAGUAUAUGUCAGUGAUGAAACAUUGUCAAAUGAACCCGGUCGAUCAGAAACGGAGAGGGUUGGUAUUGGCCUUCUCCUGCCAGAUUCUGAGAAUAUAAGAUUUAAUCUGAAAGGUGAGUGUUUUGGAAACCUGAAAGGUGAGUGUUUUGGAAAAAUAAACUGUUGGUUUGAUCAGUUGUUAUAGGUACUUACUCCCACCACUUUCCAUUUGCUUUUUAGGACAAAGAUUUUCAACUGCUUAUAUAGAGGAGUUGUCUGAAAAUCCUUUAGUCUAUAUCAGAUGACCAAAUUCGUGAUAUUGUUGUGUUUCUUCACCGCGCUCAUGGCCUCUCGAAGCAUAUAGAUUUUUUUUUCUAACGUUACCUCCCUAUUCAAAGUCAAAAGACACGCGGUUCCAUGUUCCCGACCUUAUUCAGGAUGGCAACGUUUGGCCAGUUUAAAGGUUUUCAGAAUUUUCAUACUCAAUACACUUUUCAUAUUUAUAUGAUUAUGUAUUCAUGUACAUUCCCUUUUAUCUGAAUUUGGAAAAGAAAUAGUUGUGCCUGACAUCAAUGUCGAAUGGGUUAUGGAUACACCACUGAGUUAGAUGCUUUCAAAUUUGGCUUUAUGCUUCCUAUCACACCUCCAUGUAAAUGGUACAUAAAUACUCUUGAAUUAAAUAGCACUUGCUAUGCAGGUACGGUAAUUAUUAUAGACCUUGAUGUUUGGAUGAUUGGUAAUGGCGAAUGAAUGAAAAUAGAAUGUCCAGAUAAAGUCAUAUGCAGAUCAAGUUUAUAAAUAGAUGCUCCUAUGUCAUGGGCAACCAAAGCAAGUACAUGAACUUACACCCCUCUUGAUGCCCAAAAGGAACUUAUCUCUUAUAAGGCAUCAUGAUGCAGGCCAAGUUUAUAAACUGACAAGGGAUUCUCAAACAGCUGUGAAAGAUUCAUGGAGCAUGCAUGGAGCCAAUAGGAAAUUAGAACAGGUCGCCUUCAUUGCCUUGGCCCUUCACAAUGAUUGUUGUUCUGUUCAGGUACCACUUGCCUAAAUACCAAGUCAGUUACUCAAUAAACAGCUAUAUAUAUAUGUAUUCCGAUCCUAGCUGCGUUAUUACCCAUGCUUUGUGCAUUCCUUGGUCAUAUAUUAAUUACCUCAGCAGUUGUAAGCUCUUGAUAAAUAUUUCAACAUCUACGGUUGCCGGAUUUUUUUCUGUAAGCUUCUCUUACAAUGUAAUGCAAUGACAAAUAAGGUCAACCAGUGGCUAAAUUAUCUCUCCUUUAUAGGGCCAUUUAAGUUGCUAAGAAGCAUAUAUGUCACGUGUUAUGUUUUUUAAGGGAUAUGUCAUGUGUUAUGAAAGUUAUUGGGCGUACACCUGUUGCCUCUGGACAUUUGCAUUGUAGAAGCUAGAACAAUUUGUGUAUAUAAGCAACCAUAGGCAGCUAUUGAUUAUGUUAUCUUAAGCCUUUCUUUACACUGGAGCCUCCAAUAUAUUUCGGCUUCACUGUUCCAUUUUAUGGUAUCAACAACAAUUUAGGACUAUUUAUCUUCUGCCACACGAUCAUUUAUCUUGAUGUGGUGCACCUACUAUCUGCAUCAUCCUGAUCCUAACAAAUACUAAGAUCAAUAUGUGAACUAUAGGUCUUUCAAUCCGC